CUUUUCGGUAGGACCGCCUUACAGGCGCGUGUAGGAAAGACCGGGUGUGAAACCACGCGCGCGUGGCCUCACGCGCGAUAUAAGUUGAAAAUUUUUCUCUCUCCUCUCAUUUUCUGCAAACGCUCUCCUCUCAUCCUUCUCUCUACCACACAAAAUCCUAACCUUCUGCAACACCAAACCUAACCCCUCAGCCCCGCUCUCUCUCUCCUCCAACACUCUCGCCGUCCCCUCCAAAACCAUAGCCACCUUCAUUCUCUCUUCUCCGGCCUUCUCCUUCUCCGAUCUGUCCUCUCGCCGCCGUUGCAAGAUGCACCACCAUGGAUUCCGACUGUCCCAGCCUCUGUUCUCCGCCGACCAUGGAUUUCGUUUGAGAUGUUUGAUUUCAUGAGAAUUGAAGAGGGGGCGGUGACGGUGGUGGGGAUGUGGCUGGUGCUGCUAGGAAGACGUUGGGUUUCGUGAAAUGAUAGGGAGUUGUUGGAGGUGCGCGGUUUCAGUGAAAUGACCGUUGUGGUGGAAGCUUGCCUCAAGGAACAAUCCGCCGGGAAACAGCGAGAAAGGAAGGAGAAGCGGAGCUUUUCGGAUCAACACCAUCUCACCGACGGGAACAUCAUGUUCCAGAUUUUUUUUUUUUUUUAAUCUUGGUUGGUUUUAGAAGGAGGAAUUGACUACUUGUUGGUGUUUUAAUUCUAUUGAGUUAUUCAUGGUUUUAGUAAAAGAUUGUAUGGAAUUAGUUAUAAUUUUCUUAUAUUUAGUUAUGAAAUGAUUUUUAGUUA
Long non-coding RNA from Spinacia oleracea (spinach), 773 nucleotides. RefSeq lists it as uncharacterized. The transcript is spliced from 2 exons. Lineage: Eukaryota; Viridiplantae; Streptophyta; Magnoliopsida; Caryophyllales; Amaranthaceae. The record is from RefSeq and is a predicted model, not a curated record.